GCUUACGGCCACACCACCCUGAGCGCGCCCGAUUCGUCUGAUCUCGGAAGCUAAGCAGGGUCGGGCCUGGUUAGUACUUGGAUGGGAGACCGCCUGGGAAUACCAGGUGCCGUAAGCU
RNAcentral lists this ribosomal RNA (118 nucleotides) under Lates calcarifer (barramundi perch). Lineage: Eukaryota; Metazoa; Chordata; Actinopteri; Centropomidae. The record is from RNAcentral.